UAAUCCAAGGAGUUGCGAACGGGUGAGUAACGCGUAGGUAACCUACCUCAUAGCGGGGGAUAACUAUUGGAAACGAUAGCUAAUACCGCAUGACACUAGAGUACACAUGUACUCAAGUUAAAAGGAGCAAUUGCUUCACUAUGAGAUGGACCUGCGUUGUAUUAGCUAGUUGGUGAGGUAAAGGCUCACCAAGGCGACGAUACAUAGCCGACCUGAGAGGGUGAUCGGCCACACUGGGACUGAGACACGGCCCAGACUCCUACGGGAGGCAGCAGUAGGGAAUCUUCGGCAAUGGACGGAAGUCUGACCGAGCAACGCCGCGUGAGUGAAGAAGGUUUUCGGAUCGUAAAGCUCUGUUGUUAGAGAAGAACGGUAAUGGGAGUGGAAAAUCCAUUACGUGACGGUAACUAACCAGAAAGGGACGGCUAACUACGUGCCAGCAGCCGCGGUAAUACGUAGGUCUCGAGCGUUGUCCGGAUUUAUUGGGCGUAAAGCGAGCG
RNAcentral lists this ribosomal RNA (500 nucleotides) under Streptococcus iniae. RNAcentral describes it as "bacterial SSU rRNA". It matches the Rfam family "Bacterial small subunit ribosomal RNA", at positions 84 to 571 of the family's 1533-position model. Lineage: Bacteria; Bacillati; Bacillota; Bacilli; Lactobacillales; Streptococcaceae. The record is from RNAcentral.